RNAcentral lists this ribosomal RNA (632 nucleotides) under Cryobacterium sp. Y4_272_1. RNAcentral's name for it is "bacterial SSU rRNA". It matches the Rfam family "Bacterial small subunit ribosomal RNA", at positions 60 to 692 of the family's 1533-position model. Lineage: Bacteria; Bacillati; Actinomycetota; Actinomycetes; Micrococcales; Microbacteriaceae. The record is from RNAcentral.
AGUCGAACGGUGAAGAGGAGCUUGCUCCUUGGAUCAGUGGCGAACGGGUGAGUAACACGUGAGCAAUCUGCCCUUGACUCUGGGAUAACUGCGGGAAACUGUAGCUAAUACCGGAUAUUACCUUGGAAGGCAUCUUCUGGGGUGGAAAGAAUUUUGGUCAAGGAUGAGCUCGCGGCCUAUCAGCUAGUUGGUGAGGUAAUGGCUCACCAAGGCGACGACGGGUAGCCGGCCUGAGAGGGUGACCGGCCACACUGGGACUGAGACACGGCCCAGACUCCUACGGGAGGCAGCAGUGGGGAAUAUUGCACAAUGGGCGCAAGCCUGAUGCAGCAACGCCGCGUGAGGGACGACGGCCUUCGGGUUGUAAACCUCUUUUAGUAGGGAAGAAGCGACUGGGUUUUCCUGGGAGUGACGGUACCUGCAGAAAAAGCACCGGCUAACUACGUGCCAGCAGCCGCGGUAAUACGUAGGGUGCAAGCGUUGUCCGGAAUUAUUGGGCGUAAAGAGCUCGUAGGCGGUUUGUCGCGUCUGCUGUGAAAACCCGAGGCUCAACCUCGGGCCUGCAGUGGGUACGGGCAGACUAGAGUGCGGUAGGGGAGAUUGGAAUUCCUGGUGUAGCGGUGGAAUGCGCA